Molecule: long non-coding RNA, 205 nt
Filed under: Gossypium barbadense (sea-island cotton)
Lineage: Eukaryota; Viridiplantae; Streptophyta; Magnoliopsida; Malvales; Malvaceae
Description: long non-coding RNA (GBAR_LNC011603)
Source: RNAcentral
UAGUUUUCACUUUCCUCUAAUUCUUUCUGCUCAAUUUAAUUCUGCGAAUUUCUCUUCCUCAAUUCAACUAUCAGUACAAAGGUGACGUGCAGUAACAUUUAGCAAUCUCAUGGUCAAAACUUACUGUAGCUUUCUUCUGAAGUCACAGUGCAACUUGGAUUUCCAACCAUAACAACUAAAAAUUUACACUCUGAAUGAAUUGACA